UUCAGACCACUCACUCUGGGAGAAAGCAACUGGCUAUGUCAUGAGGAAAUUGAAACCACCUAUGGAGAAAGGCCCACAUGGAAUUCUGUAAGUCUGCUACGGUGACAUUUCUGGUUAGGAGUCAGAGUGGAUGGGACACUGAGCAAUAAGGUAAGUAUUAGCAUGUGAGUAAGCCCUGGUUUGCCCAAGAUAGUUGUCAUUUAGGCUUCCUGUCCCAAUGUAAUCAUAAGUAGCAUUGUAUUAAUCCAUUCUUGCAUUGCUAUAAAGAAAUACCUGAGACUGGGUAAUUUAUAAAGAAAAGAGGUUAAUUGGCUCAUGGUUCUGCAGGAGGUACAGGAAGCAUCACACUGGUAUCUCCUUCUGGGGAGGCCUCUGGAAGCUUAAGGUCAUGGCAGGAGGCAAAGCAGGAGCAAGGGAGCCAGAGAGUUGCUACACACUUUUGAACAACCAGAUCUCAAGAGAACUCACUAUGGCGAGGACAGUACCAUGAGGAUGGCAUCCAAACUAUAUCAAGCAUCUUUGUCAUUCUCAGAAGUGUCCCUGUUUGGAUGAUAGGUUCCAAUAUCAUGCUACCUAUGGGGUAGGAUGGGGGGACCUAUGGGGUACUAAUCUCACCUAAUAUGUACAUAACACUUCACAGUUAUCUCUUAUAGUAUUCAAGCUGAGAAAGGAUGCAGAUCUUAAAAACAUGUGCUUUGGGUUAUUUAGUUAGUAUAGUGUAUUGGGAGCUCAAGCUCUGGAAUCAGAAAAAAACUGGGUCUGAAUCAAAGUUCAAGAGAUCUUGGCAAGUUCCUUUAUUCUUUGAGCCUUAAUGUGCUUAUUUGUAGAAAGGGAAAACUAAGAGUACCUCUCUCAAAGUGGUAGUUUUGGGAAUUAAAUGAGAUAAGCUAAUUUUUUAAUUUUUGACAUAUAAUAAUUGUACAUAUUUAUGAGGUGCAGAGUGAUAUUUGAUACAUGUAUAAAAUGUGUAAGGAUCACAUUAGGAUAAUUAGGAUAUCCGUCACCUCAUUUAUCAUUUAUUUGUGUUAUGAGCAUUCAAAAUCCUCCCUUCUAUCUUUUUGAAUAUAGAUAAUACAUUGUUACCUAUAUCCACCCCACAGCAUAAUAGAACACUAGAACUUAUUGCUUCUAUCUAGUAACUUUGGAGGUGACCUAGACUUCUAUUAGUUUCCUAAAACUGCUUUAAUAAAGUAUCAUAAACUGGGUGACUUAAAACAACUGAAAUUUAUUGUCUCACAGUUCUGAAGGCUAGGAGUCCCAAAUCAAGGCAAUAGCAGAGCCAUGCUCCCUCUGAAGCCUACAAGGGAGAAUCUUUCCUAGCUUCUUGUGGUUGGCUUGUAGAUGCAACACUACAAUCCUCCAUCUUCACAUGGCAUUUUCCCUGUGUCUCUACACACUGUUCCCUCUGUGCAUGUCUUGUCUGUGUCUGAGUUCAAAUUAUCCCCUCCGUUUUUUUUUUAUUAGGAUACCUAUCAUAUUGGAUUAGGGCCCACCCUAAUGGCCUCACCUUAACUUGACUACACGUGCACCUACAUCUAUUUCCAUAGAAGGUCACAUUCUAAGGUAGUAGGGGUUAGGACUUCAACAUCUCUUUUCAGGGAGACACAAUUUAAUCCAUAAUACUAUUUUUAAAGUAUUUAGUUAUUUGCUUGGCCUGUAAUAAGCUCUGAUUAAUGUUUUCUGCUGAUAUAUCCAAACAGAAAAAUACUUCGUUAGGCCAAAAUCAUAUAAGAUAGAGGGAAUUUUGGUGCAAGAGAAACUGCUAUUUGGCUUUAGAUAUUUAUUUUCUCUUCCUCCACCCUGAAAGAGACUCUGAUUUUGGUCUUGACUGUGGCUACCUGGAAAGAGAACUGAAAUAUACAUCCUUACUUGUAACCGGUUGUGGUCAUACAGCUAAGUUUGACCAAGAAGAAGAUGCAGGUGAACUGUAAGUCCUUAAUGAGAAGGAAAAUAAUGCCUUACCUUUCUUUUGCUCCUUCUCACUGGCCAGAAUGCAGAGACAUGAUGGCUGAAGCUGGAGCUUUUCCCUGAAGCAACCACCUGUUGGAAACUUCAUGUUGAAGAUGACUGAAUAAUAAGACAGAGGGGUCUGGGUCCCUGGUGGAUAUUCCAGAUCUGGGUGUUCGUGGAGAUAUGAGAAAGCAA
Molecule: long non-coding RNA, 2145 nt
Filed under: Homo sapiens (human)
Lineage: Eukaryota; Metazoa; Chordata; Mammalia; Primates; Hominidae
Description: non-protein coding lnc-SCN2A-6:3
Source: RNAcentral